RNAcentral lists this non-coding RNA (24 nucleotides) under Cricetulus griseus (Chinese hamster). The record is from RNAcentral. Lineage: Eukaryota; Metazoa; Chordata; Mammalia; Rodentia; Cricetidae.
AAGCAUGGACCACAAGGACAAGGA